CACAGAGACCUGUAGUGUCUCCACUAACUCGGCUCCUCUAACUGGCUACACUGAUGUCUUGGUAGAGGUCUCUGAAUUUGUCCUACUCAGCACAUCUAGAUUCCUGGUCUGGUGUCAAGGCAGAGGCCACUCUGAGGCUAGUGGAUUAUCACGUGUAGUUUACAGACCUUGUGUGAAGGCCUAGACUUGUUGCCUCAGUCUGAGCACCUCUGUAGCAAGUGCAGACACUGAAGGGAGAACGCUGGCCAGCUGAGCCCUCCAGAUUGGAAGGCUAAUUAGAGACGGGGUUCAGCUGAAGGAAGAUAGCAAAAGCCUUGCAGCUGACUAUUCCAAGGCAAGAGACCUGUGAUACUAACUCCAUCCCCAGAGAGAGGGCUGCGGGGGAGCGCCUGUUUGGAGGAGGGAGGUAUUGGUAAGGAAGGAGGGAGUUGUCAGGGCUUGAUGUCGAUCCAGGAGACGGAAGUGACGGAGAGCUUGGGUGACAGAGCGAGUCGUAGAUGAAGUGGUUGGCUCUGGUUCAGCUUGAGAAGUUAAUUGCGUAGGCUCGUCUGCUGCUGGUUGUUUUUCCUUGAAAAACAUGGUGAUCAGCAACUGUCGCUGUUGUCACUUGAGCUACUCAAACAUUUCUUGAUAUGGUCUCAAAUAGUCUGUAACACGACAUGUGAUUUUGAGGCUUCAUUCCAUAGAGGGAUCGUAUUCAGAAAUUAAAUCAUUCAAGCGUUUUGCUGCUUGGAACACUUCAGCAAAUUUAUGAAGAUUCCAACUUGCUGGCUCUUCCUGUUUGUCAUCAUCACCUUCGUCUUCUGUAGACAAUUUUAUCAGUUCCUCUAACUCCUCGUUAGUCAGUGUUUCUCUACGGCUCUCAAUUAAUUCAUCAAUUUCUUCCUCAAGGAUGUCGAUGAAGCCAUCACCGCCCACUUGCCUGGCCACCUGAA
Molecule: long non-coding RNA, 935 nt
Organism: Mauremys mutica (yellowpond turtle)
Lineage: Eukaryota; Metazoa; Chordata; Testudines; Geoemydidae
Exons: 3
Source: RefSeq, a predicted model, not a curated record